AGCAGCCGCGGUAAUUCCAGCUCCAAUAGCGUAUAUUAAAGUUGUUGCAGUUAAAAAGCUCGUAGUUGAAUUUCGGGAUCAAUAUGUUUGGUCGUGCCUCGGUACGUACUAGCUUAUUGGUUUCUCCUUUCUGAAGAACCAUGAUGUCAUUCAUUUGGUGUCGUGGGGAAUCAGGACUGUUACUUUGAAAAAAUUAGAGUGUUUAAAGCAGGCUCACGCUUGAAUACAUUAGCAUGGAAUAAUGAAAUAGGACGUUUGAUUCUAUUUUGUUGGUUUCUAGGAUCGACGUAAUGAUUAAUAGGGAUAGUUGGGGGCACUAGUAUUCAAUUGUCAGAGGUGAAAUUCUUGGAUUUAUUGAAGACUAACUACUGCGAAAGCAUUUGCCAAGGAUAUUUUCAUUAAUCAAGAACGAAAGUUAGGGGAUCGAAGACGAUCAGAUACCGUCGUAGUCUUAACCAUAAACUAUGCCGACUAGGGAUCGGAUGAUGUUAAUUUUUUAAUGUACUCAU
RNAcentral lists this ribosomal RNA (509 nucleotides) under uncultured Glomus. RNAcentral's name for it is "SSU rRNA". It matches the Rfam family "Eukaryotic small subunit ribosomal RNA", at positions 569 to 1079 of the family's 1831-position model. The record is from RNAcentral. Lineage: Eukaryota; Fungi; Glomeromycota; Glomeromycetes; Glomerales; Glomeraceae.